Long non-coding RNA from Capsicum annuum, 1109 nucleotides. RefSeq lists it as uncharacterized. The transcript has 2 exons. Lineage: Eukaryota; Viridiplantae; Streptophyta; Magnoliopsida; Solanales; Solanaceae. The record is from RefSeq and is a predicted model, not a curated record.
GUAGGGAUAUGAGUUUUUGCAUCAUAUGGAGCCAUAUAUCAAUCAGAAUUUUCAAGCACUUUGACACAUUUUGCAGUAAAACUUAUCGCCAAGUUUUCCAACCUUCCUAUUACAGUCCUUACAACUCAGGUAUGGCCACUUUUUGUCAAGGUCUAUGUGUAUUAUGCUCGCAACAACACAGAAGCUCCCUUCCUAUAUUUUAUUAAAAAUAACAUAGUUUAAAAAAUAGUCAUCUGUCAAAAUAUAAAUUAUUAAUGGAAUAGUGUUACUUACAUCCAUGCACUCAAUUAAUUGCUUGAUAGUUUUAGCUUCAAGCGAUCCAGAAGAUAAUAACUCAUCUGAAAUAGAAGAAGAGUUAUUUUGAGAGGAUAUUCGACUAAUCCUCUCGGCUUUACCUCCACGCACAUCUUCCAUUCUGUAUGGGUUGAAGUUUUGUUAAAAUCUAUUUCAUAUAACAAAUUAUUCAAUGUACUAAAAAGAAAUGGAGAGUAUACUACUAUAUAAACCUGGAGAUAAAUUCAGCAACUUCAGGCAGUUGAGGAUUUAUCCAUAAUUUUGAAGCAGUCCAAGAAUUGCGCACAAAAUAGUUUCCUGCAUUUAUGAGUAUAUUUGUUAUCACAUCAUGAAAUUUGUAUUCAAUAUAAAUCUUACAAAUGUAUAGAAAAAACUAGAAACCUUUGAAUUUAUGUGCCAGAUAAAUUCAGCAACUUCAGGCAGUUGAGGAUUUAUCCAUAAUUUUGAAGCAGUCCAAGAAUUGCGCACAAAAUAUUUUCCUGCAUUUAUGAGUAUAUUUGUUAUCACAUCAUGAAAUUUGUAUUCAAUAUAAAUCUUACAAAUGUAUAGAAAAAACUAGAAACCUUUGAAUUUAUGUGCCUGUACCAACUGCAUCACCACAAUUACAGGCUUAUCGAUAGAUCCCUCCAAGUGCGGACGUAUUUGAAGAGCGAACUCACCCCAGAAAGUAGCUUCAAUCAUUUUAUUCCUUCAAUAUAUACAUAUAAUUAUAUAAAAAUUGAACAACUUCAAAUUUAUAAUUAUGUUUGUCGUCUUACUCGUAAUCUUGUAGUUCAACAUUCAUGAACAACGAUUUAUUGCCUUGUUUGUAUUUC